GGGUUGUGAGGUUAAGCGACUAAGCGUACACGGUGGAUGCCCUGGCAGUCAGAGGCGAUGAAGGACGUGCUAAUCUGCGAUAAGCGCCGGUAAGGUGAUAUGAACCGUUAUAACCGGCGAUUUCCGAAUGGGGAAACCCAGUGUGACUCGUCACACUAUCAUUAACUGAAUCCAUAGGUUAAUGAGGCGAACCGGGGGAACUGAAACAUCUAAGUACCCCGAGGAAAAGAAAUCAACCGAGAUUCCCCCAGUAGCGGCGAGCGAACGGGGAGGAGCCCAGAGCCUGAAUCAGCAUGUGUGUUAGUGGAAGCGUCUGGAAAGGCGCGCGAUACAGGGUGACAGCCCCGUACACAAAAGCGCAUGUGCUGUGAGCUCGAUGAGUAGGGCGGGACACGUGGUAUCCUGUCUGAAUAUGGGGGGACCAUCCUCCAAGGCUAAAUACUCCUGACUGACCGAUAGUGAACCAGUACCGUGAGGGAAAGGCGAAAAGAACCCCGGCGAGGGGAGUGAAAAAGAACCUGAAACCGUGUACGUACAAGCAGUGGGAGCACCCUUCGGGGUGUGACUGCGUACCUUUUGUAUAAUGGGUCAGCGACUUAUAUUCUGUAGCAAGGUUAACCGAAUAGGGGAGCCGGAGGGAAACCGAGUCUUAAUUGGGCGUUAAGUUGCAGGGUAUAGACCCGAAACCCGGUGAUCUAGCCAUGGGCAGGUUGAAGGUUGGGUAACACUAACUGGAGGACCGAACCGACUAAUGUUGAAAAAUUAGCGGAUGACCUGUGGCUGGGGGUGAAAGGCCAAUCAAACCGGGAGAUAGCUGGUUCUCCCCGAAAGCUAUUUAGGUAGCGCCUCGUGAAUUCAUCUCCGGGGGUAGAGCACUGUUUCGGCUAGGGGGCCAUCCCGGCUUACCAACCCGAUGCAAACUGCGAAUACCGGAGAAUGUUAUCACGGGAGACACACGGCGGGUGCUAACGUCCGUCGUGAAGAGGGAAACAACCCAGACCGCCAGCUAAGGUCCCAAAGUCAUGGUUAAGUGGGAAACGAUGUGGGAAGGCCCAGACAGCCAGGAUGUUGGCUUAGAAGCAGCCAUCAUUUAAAGAAAGCGUAAUAGCUCACUGGUCGAGUCGGCCUGCGCGGAAGAUGUAACGGGGCUAAACCAUGCACCGAAGCUGCGGCAGCGACACUGUGUGUUGUUGGGUAGGGGAGCGUUCUGUAAGCCUGCGAAGGUGGCCUGUGAGGGUUGCUGGAGGUAUCAGAAGUGCGAAUGCUGACAUAAGUAACGAUAAAGCGGGUGAAAAGCCCGCUCGCCGGAAGACCAAGGGUUCCUGUCCAACGUUAAUCGGGGCAGGGUGAGUCGACCCCUAAGGCGAGGCCGAAAGGCGUAGUCGAUGGGAAACGGGUUAAUAUUCCCGUACUUGGUGUUACUGCGAAGGGGGGACGGAGAAGGCUAUGUUGGCCGGGCGACGGUUGUCCCGGUUUAAGCGUGUAGGUGUGUGUUCCAGGUAAAUCCGGUUCACUUUAACACUGAGGCGUGACGACGAGGCACUACGGUGCUGAAGCAACAAAUGCCCUGCUUCCAGGAAAAGCCUCUAAGCAUCAGGUAACAUCAAAUCGUACCCCAAACCGACACAGGUGGUCAGGUAGAGAAUACCAAGGCGCUUGAGAGAACUCGGGUGAAGGAACUAGGCAAAAUGGUGCCGUAACUUCGGGAGAAGGCACGCUGACAUGUAGGUGAAGUGAUUUACUCAUGGAGCUGAAGUCAGUCGAAGAUACCAGCUGGCUGCAACUGUUUAUUAAAAACACAGCACUGUGCAAACACGAAAGUGGACGUAUACGGUGUGACGCCUGCCCGGUGCCGGAAGGUUAAUUGAUGGGGUCAGCGCAAGCGAAGCUCCUGAUCGAAGCCCCGGUAAACGGCGGCCGUAACUAUAACGGUCCUAAGGUAGCGAAAUUCCUUGUCGGGUAAGUUCCGACCUGCACGAAUGGCGUAAUGAUGGCCAGGCUGUCUCCACCCGAGACUCAGUGAAAUUGAACUCGCUGUGAAGAUGCAGUGUACCCGCGGCAAGACGGAAAGACCCCGUGAACCUUUACUAUAGCUUGACACUGAACAUUGAGCCUUGAUGUGUAGGAUAGGUGGGAGGCUUUGAAGUGUGGACGCCAGUCUGCAUGGAGCCGACCUUGAAAUACCACCCUUUAAUGUUUGAUGUUCUAACGUGGACCCGUAAUCCGGGUUGCGGACAGUGUCUGGUGGGUAGUUUGACUGGGGCGGUCUCCUCCUAAAGAGUAACGGAGGAGCACGAAGGUUGGCUAAUCCUGGUCGGACAUCAGGAGGUUAGUGCAAUGGCAUAAGCCAGCUUGACUGCGAGCGUGACGGCGCGAGCAGGUGCGAAAGCAGGUCAUAGUGAUCCGGUGGUUCUGAAUGGAAGGGCCAUCGCUCAACGGAUAAAAGGUACUCCGGGGAUAACAGGCUGAUACCGCCCAAGAGUUCAUAUCGACGGCGGUGUUUGGCACCUCGAUGUCGGCUCAUCACAUCCUGGGGCUGAAGUAGGUCCCAAGGGUAUGGCUGUUCGCCAUUUAAAGUGGUACGCGAGCUGGGUUUAGAACGUCGUGAGACAGUUCGGUCCCUAUCUGCCGUGGGCGCUGGAGAACUGAGGGGGGCUGCUCCUAGUACGAGAGGACCGGAGUGGACGCAUCACUGGUGUUCGGGUUGUCAUGCCAAUGGCACUGCCCGGUAGCUAAAUGCGGAAGAGAUAAGUGCUGAAAGCAUCUAAGCACGAAACUUGCCCCGAGAUGAGUUCUCCCUGAGACUUAGAGUCUCCUGAAGGAACGUUGAAGACGACGACGUUGAUAGGCCGGGUGUGUAAGCGCAGCGAUGCGUUGAGCUAACCGGUACUAAUGAACCGUGAGGCUUAACCUUACAACGCCGAAG
RNAcentral lists this ribosomal RNA (2926 nucleotides) under Salmonella enterica subsp. enterica serovar Indiana. Its description in RNAcentral is "23S ribosomal RNA". It matches the Rfam family "Bacterial large subunit ribosomal RNA". The record is from RNAcentral. RNAcentral also lists the same sequence under 1 other name. Lineage: Bacteria; Pseudomonadati; Pseudomonadota; Gammaproteobacteria; Enterobacterales; Enterobacteriaceae.